GGCAACGGGCGGCGUGCUAUACAUGCAAGUCGUACGCUUCUUUUUCCACCGGAGCUUGCUCCACCGGAAAAAGAAGAGUGGCGAACGGGUGAGUAACACGUGGGUAACCUGCCCAUCAGAAGGGGAUAACACUUGGAAACAGGUGCUAAUACCGUAUAACAAUCGAAACCGCAUGGUUUUGAUUUGAAAGGCGCUUUCGGGUGUCGCUGAUGGAUGGACCCGCGGUGCAUUAGCUAGUUGGUGAGGUAACGGCUCACCAAGGCUACGAUGCAUAGCCGACCUGAGAGGGUGAUCGGCCACAUUGGGACUGAGACACGGCCCAAACUCCUACGGGAGGCAGCAGUAGGGAAUCUUCGGCAAUGGACGAAAGUCUGACCGAGCAACGCCGCGUGAGUGAAGAAGGUUUUCGGAUCGUAAAACUCUGUUGUUAGAGAAGAACAAGGAUGAGAGUAACUGUUCAUCCCUUGACGGUAUCUAACCAGAAAGCCACGGCUAACUACGUGCCAGCAGCCGCGGUAAUACGUAGGUGGCAAGCGUUGUCCGGAUUUAUUGGGCGUAAAGCGAGCGCAGGCGGUUUCUUAAGUCUGAUGUGAAAGCCCCCGGCUCAACCGGGGAGGGUCAUUGGAAACUGGGAGACUUGAGUGCAGAAGAGGAGAGUGGAAUUCCAUGUGUAGCGGUGAAAUGCGUAGAUAUAUGGAGGAACACCAGUGGCGAAGGCGGCUCUCUGGUCUGUAACUGACGCUGAGGCUCGAAAGCGUGGGGAGCAAACAGGAUUAGAUACCCUGGUAGUCCACGCCGUAAACGAUGAGUGCUAAGUGUUGGAGGGUUUCCGCCCUUCAGUGCUGCAGCUAACGCAUUAAGCACUCCGCCUGGGGAGUACGACCGCAAGGUUGAAACUCAAAGGAAUUGACGGGGGCCCGCACAAGCGGUGGAGCAUGUGGUUUAAUUCGAAGCAACGCGAAGAACCUUACCAGGUCUUGACAUCCUUUGACCACUCUAGAGAUAGAGCUUCCCCUUCGGGGGCAAAGUGACAGGUGGUGCAUGGUUGUCGUCAGCUCGUGUCGUGAGAUGUUGGGUUAAGUCCCGCAACGAGCGCAACCCUUAUUGUUAGUUGCCAUCAUUCAGUUGGGCACUCUAGCAAGACUGCCGGUGACAAACCGGAGGAAGGUGGGGAUGACGUCAAAUCAUCAUGCCCCUUAUGACCUGGGCUACACACGUGCUACAAUGGGAAGUACAACGAGUCGCGAAGUCGCGAGGCUAAGCUAAUCUCUUAAAGCUUCUCUCAGUUCGGAUUGUAGGCUGCAACUCGCCUACAUGAAGCCGGAAUCGCUAGUAAUCGCGGAUCAGCACGCCGCGGUGAAUACGUUCCCGGGCCUUGUACACACCGCCCGUCACACCACGAGAGUUUGUAACACCCGAAGUCGGUGAGGUAACCUUUUGGAGCCAGCCGCCUAAGGUGGAUAGGAUGAGUG
Molecule: ribosomal RNA, 1472 nt
Filed under: Enterococcus durans
Lineage: Bacteria; Bacillati; Bacillota; Bacilli; Lactobacillales; Enterococcaceae
Description: bacterial SSU rRNA
Rfam family: Bacterial small subunit ribosomal RNA
Source: RNAcentral